UGGCUUUGGCUUGAGCCCUCAAAUCCUUGGUCAAACAAUGGGCAUAAAGCACUGAAAUUCCUAAAUGGCUUGAGCCCUAUUAUCCAUACCUUUUGGUUUCAGUCCAUGCCUUUCAGUCAACACAUGUAGUCUAGUCAAAAGCUAUAUCCUCAUGUAAAUCAAGAUUAAAAUAAAAAAUUAAAUCAUGAUUAAUAUAAGAGACUAAGAAAACAGAAAAUACGCAAUUAAGG
RNAcentral lists this long non-coding RNA (230 nucleotides) under Trifolium pratense (red clover). RNAcentral's name for it is "long non-coding RNA (TPRA_LNC001651)". Lineage: Eukaryota; Viridiplantae; Streptophyta; Magnoliopsida; Fabales; Fabaceae. The record is from RNAcentral.